This 482-nucleotide ribosomal RNA is filed under the name uncultured bacterium. RNAcentral's name for it is "bacterial SSU rRNA". It matches the Rfam family "Bacterial small subunit ribosomal RNA", at positions 28 to 525 of the family's 1533-position model. The record is from RNAcentral.
GACGAACGCUGGCGGCGUGCUUAACACAUGCAAGUCGAACGGAAAGGCCCUGCUUGCAGGGUACUCGAGUGGCGAACGGGUGAGUAACACGUGGGUGAUCUGCCCUGCACUUCGGGAUAAGCCUGGGAAACUGGGUCUAAUACCGGAUAGGACCAUCGUUUAGUGUCGGUGGUGGAAAGUUUUUCGGUGCAGGAUGAGCUCGCGGCCUAUCAGCUUGUUGGUGGGGUAAUGGCCUACCAAGGCGUCGACGGGUAGCCGGCCUGAGAGGGUGGACGGCCACAUUGGGACUGAGACACGGCCCAGACUCCUACGGGAGGCAGCAGUGGGGAAUAUUGCACAAUGGGCGCAAGCCUGAUGCAGCGACGCCGCGUGGGGGAUGAAGGCCUUCGGGUUGUAAACUCCUUUCAACCAUGACGAAGCUUUUUGUGACGGUAGUGGUAGAAGAAGCACCGGCUAACUACGUGCCAGCCGCCGCCGUAAAA